Molecule: long non-coding RNA, 292 nt
Organism: Symphalangus syndactylus (siamang)
Lineage: Eukaryota; Metazoa; Chordata; Mammalia; Primates; Hylobatidae
Source: RefSeq, a predicted model, not a curated record
CCUGUCAAAGAAAGGAGGGCACAGAGUUACACCAGCCCCUCUGACACAGGCUCAGUUAUGGUUGCAACUAACUGCCUUCAUUCUCCUACUUUGUACAGGUUAAUUUCUGGUGCCUUCCACAGAGCUGGAGGAUCAUCCAUGUCAGAAGAUAAACCGCUGGAAGAAUAGACCUAUCUCCUCUCUAUUUGUAUUUACCUCCGAAAAUCAACUUACCGAAGAUUCACUAUCACGAAUGAGGAAAUCCCCUUCAUGUCCUCUUUCAUUUAAUGCCAUUUCUGCUUGAUGCCUGGUG